UACGAAGGGGGCUAGCGUUGUUCGGAUUUACUGGGCGUAAAGGGCGCGUAGGCGGCGUGUUAAGUCAGCUGUGAAAUCUCCAAGCUUAACUUGGAACGGUCAGCUGAUACUGAUGUGCUAGAGUGCAGAAGGGGCAAUCGGAAUUCCCAGUGUAGCGGUGAAAUGCGUAGAUAUUGGGAGGAACACCAGUGGCGAAGGCGGCUCCCUGGACCGGUUCUGACGCUGAGGCGCGAAAGCGUGGGUAGCAAACAGG
RNAcentral lists this ribosomal RNA (253 nucleotides) under uncultured bacterium. Its description in RNAcentral is "partial 16S ribosomal RNA". It matches the Rfam family "Bacterial small subunit ribosomal RNA", at positions 524 to 776 of the family's 1533-position model. The record is from RNAcentral.